This 253-nucleotide ribosomal RNA is filed under the name uncultured bacterium. RNAcentral's name for it is "partial 16S ribosomal RNA". It matches the Rfam family "Bacterial small subunit ribosomal RNA", at positions 524 to 776 of the family's 1533-position model. The record is from RNAcentral.
UACGUAGGUGUCAAGCGUUGUCCGGAUUUAUUGGGCGUAAAGCGCCCGCAGGCGGCUUGCCAAGUUCGAUGUGAAAUCUCCCGGCUUAACUGGGAGGGUGCAUCGAAAACUGGCAGGCUUGAGGCAGGGAGAGGGAUGUGGAAUUCCAGGUGUAGUGGUGAAAUGCGUAGAUAUCGUGAGGAAGACCAGUGGCGAAGGCGGGUCUCUGGACAGUUCCUGACACUGAGGCACGAAGGCCAGGGGAGCAAACGGG